CUAUCUAGACCUACUCUAGUUUAGAGAAGAGAGGAGAGCUCUCAUCUCUAAACCCUAACUUUUGCUCUGUCUAUGAAUAAUGAAUAAUGAUCAAGGGGUGCCUCCUCCAGGGGCCAAGGGAGUCUGGUUUUAUAGUCCCCUCAAGUGAACCUAGGCCGUCAGAUCAAACCGACAUUGAUUGAACGGUUAUUCUUGAUCCUUUAGGUCAAUGGAGCAUAAUCCGCGAGAUUGAGAGUGAUUGGCCGAAAAAGGUGGGCGGGCGCCCUAAGGACUUGGGCGGGCGCCCUGUCCCUGACUCCGUUCGGUCUCCGCUUCCUUCCCGUGGCUUCUGGAGUCUUCUAGAUGUAAGAUAAUUGCGCGGCACAUUGAUAUCUCUAUGUAAUCCCGACGUGUGGGCCUUUCUUCCUUAUUUCCUGAUAACCCCCUGCAGAAAUAGACAAACACCAAAACUCGUGGAAUUCUGUCAGAUAAAACCCUAAGUCUCGAUGUUGAUUUCAUUUGGAUCCUUUUCUUUGUUUAUUUGAUAGUUAAAUUUGAUACUUAAGGACCGUCAACAAACUCCCCCAAGCUUACCUCUUGCUCGUCCCUGAGCAAGGAUAGACUCAGCUUUGGAUCAUAAGUUGUUGCAAUAUCUUUAAAAAUUGACGGUACACAUGCUUUUAAAUGAGGUCUCAUCUCUGAGUUAGAGUAAACUAUCAAGACUUAAAACUUACUUACUUUACCUUUCACCAUGGGACUUGUAACCGUCACUUCUGUGUUGAGUGGUUAAAAGAUAGAACAGUCCAGUCAAGUGCCAUGUCGCUUAUUCUUGAUCAGCUAUAGCUCUGGAGUUUUUGCAGAUUUCCAAAUAAAACUCAGAGAUUCCUUUGUAUGACUCUCUCAUAUCUCUCUUUUGUGGUAUUUCUGGAUCCUUACCAAGACAGUGAUGGUAUAUGCCUUCUCUCAAAAUAUGUGGUAUUUGUGGUAUAAGGGAUAGUGACAUUGUCUUCUCUCUCACCCUACUCUAAUAAGGCUUUAAUAUCUAGAGCUCAUAGGUGGGAGAUAAAAUAUACAUACUUACAAGACAUUUAUUGUAUAGUCAAACCAUGGAUCCAAAGAAAUAAAUCAAUAAGCCAAAUCAAGAUGUGCAUGUGUGGCGAAUGAAUAGUGUAUGGUGAUGAUGGUGAUAACAAUGGUGAAAGUCUAAUUCUUCUUUUGCUCUUUUGAGGGGAUACAUACCUUCCUUGCUUUUUGAAACUUUAUGAGGAGAAUGAGAUGCUCUUCUUUUUCUUUUCUCUGAGAUGGGUAUCCUGUACCCCUAAUUCUACUGUCGGACACUUGUCCAUUUUUACCUCUCGUCUCACUCUUUUUCUUUUCUUUCGAGGUUCCGGGCACUUGCCCCUUUUUAUUUCCUCGUUUAUUUUUAUUUUUUUCUUUUCUUUUUUUUUCUUCUUUUUUUUUCAGAGCACUCAUCUCUUGAGAUAAUAUAGCAAGUGGUAGUAGCAAGAUAACUUGAGCAUUUAUUUCACAAGGGAAAAACACAGAUGUUUUUGGCUAUUCUCUCCCGAAUUAGGAGUAGAAUAUUUUUAGGUGAUUCUGGAGAUGGAAAUGGAUGGAUAUAUGUGGAUGGUACUUCCGGAGUAGAAGUAGCAUAUAUAUGAGUGAACGUGCAAGUGAAUCUUGAUUUAACCACAUGACAAGCUCCUAAGGGUCUACACAGCUUGACCGCACUCAAUGCUCAUAAGCAGUAAAUAAUAAAUGUGUGGCUCAAAGUCUAGCAAGCAUGUAUAUAUGGCUAUGGUAGGAAUUUAAACUUUCAUCAUACAGGAACUCAUCAUGCAACAUUUUAAAGAUUUUUCAAAGAUAAAAUUCUCCAGAAUUCUAGCAUCUCUAGGAAUAGAUAAACAGCAGCUCAACCUUCCCAUAUCAUAUCCGUUAACAACUUAGAUUUCAGAUCAAGUUUUUAUCCCACAAGUUUAGAUCUAGAGCAAGCUUUAAAUUAUAACAGUUAUGUCUAAACUUGAGAGAGAACUUCAAAUUUGCAAAUUAGGCAGAGCAACUAUUCAUCAUAUCCAUGCUAGAGUUUUAUUAUUAAGAUUCAGAUUAGCAUAGCCACUUUAUUUAUUUAUUAAACAUACUAAGCAAAAGAUAUAUAUAUAUAUAAGCACAAAAUCUUUAUUUGGUUUUUCAUAGUUUAUGUAUUUUAAUAUUCUAAUAUAAUAUAAGUAUAAAGAUAGGUAGAAAUACUUAGCGAGAUAAAUGGGGGUGCUCUCCCCCAAGCUGAAUUUUGACGUAAUUUUUCUUGAUGUAGCUAGCAGGUGGCAGAGGUGUAUUUGAAAGUCAGCAGCAUUCUGACAGCGAUUAGAAUGUCCUCCGUCUGCUAGUCUUCUUGAUUCUUAAAUUCUGUGGAGCUCAAAUAGACAACAAAGCUUGUGGAACUAAUUAAGUGUUAGCAUAAAUAUCUAGCCUUCAUCACGUUGAGCUUCCUCAAUAAAUAUUACUCCCUGUUUUUAUAUUUUUAUUUUAUAAAGUAGAAAAGAAAUAUUUAUUUUAUUUUUAUGCCACCACAGUGAAGGUACUUAUGGGUUUUAUGCCACUCGUAUACUCACAUGGGGCUUAGUAUUUUUUAACAUUUUUAUUUUCUUUUCAAGAUAGUAUGAUUAACUAAUAAUCUAUUUAAGGAAAGUAAAUAAUUAAAUAGAAAAGGGAAUGCAGAAAGGAUAAAUAUGGAUAACUACCAAUCUUACCUUUCGGCGAGGGUUCAAUGUUUUAAGUCUUCUUGUCAAGACUUCUCAUCGUGUUCAUUCUUCAGGUGCGUCAUUUGAUUCAGGUGCGGACCUUGACGUCUGCACCUUUUAAUACGGUGUCACCCAUGUUCUUCGUUUGCCCAGCAGUUAGAAGUGCGGUGUUAGCAGUAUCUUGCUCAGUGUGUUUGUGCUCGUAGUGUACCUGCUCAUAGAGACAAGGCAGAGAUCAAGUGCAUGGGCCCUGUCGGUGGAAAACACCAACAGAACCAAAAGUGUAUUUGUUCUUCUCUAACCUUAAGCAUAGUGAGCAAGACAAAAUUGAUGGAUGAUAAGUUCAUGAGUGUAGCACCUAUAACAUUUGUCAGAUCAGAUCGCUCAACCUUAUGGAAAGAUAAUCUAUCUAUGUAUAUGUCUUUUUCUUUAUAUCUCUCAAUGAUUGAAUGUGUAACAUUUUAGCUCAUAUGAUUAGGAGUGUGGGAUCAUGGAGGUAGUACUAAGAACAAGGAUUAAAGGACUAAACUCGUUGAAUCCGUUGGGUUGGUUAAUCUAGAGUUGUAAAUCAUACACGUUUGUCUCUUUUAUUUAUAUGAACGCCAGAACCAAGGAGAAGCUUAUAAAAGUGAUAGUCAAGUACCUUAAGAUGUUACCUUGCUUGAAGAGUGAUGGUACAGUAUCACCUUGUGGAAGCUUUCCUUUCUUAGCGGUUGUGCAUCGUGUUUGUGGCACCCUCCAUAGAUCAUCUCUCUAUGAUGAAUGAGCUAUGUCCUUCUUGUGCAAAUUGUUAAACUUCAUGUGUCACUCUCUUCGUCUCUGAUGUGAAUUUAUCUCAAGACUUUCCAAAUCGAUAUUGAAAGUUUUUCUGCAGGGGUUAGUCCGACAAAAAUAUACCAAUGUCUACACAAGCAGUUUUUAGUUCAAUAAUCGAACUAGACUCCAUGUCUAAUCAGAUUAAGGAAGGCUGCUUAACCUAAGCACCAUGCUUAAUUUAAAAGCCAAUGGAAGUAUGGCGAGUACUUCCAAACCAACACUUGCUAGUAAAUAGACAAAGGUAGCAUGACAGUGUUUAUAGAGAUUUACUCAAGUGGAGAUGAAGUAGUGUGAUUAGUAUUUAACAAAUUGAGCAUGUCUCAAAGGUAGGGACAACCAGCAUAGCAACAUGGCAAAGGAUGUUUUUAUGUAAAGUACUCCCCCAAGCUUGAAUUUUGCAAAAUUCAAGUUUGGAUGAAUUUAAUUCAAUGUUGUAUGAUGAUUGGUUGGACAUACCUUGUGCUUGUCAUUCAUCCGAUCUUCUUGCUCCAAUCUUAGAAAGGUUAGUGACAAGAAUACCCGAAGGAAUAUUUUUCUACAAUUAUCCUUAUAUGCUCAAUACACAAGGUAAUGUUGCAAAUAAUUAAAGGCUCAUGUUACGAUCUGAUCAAUGCUUAUUUUAAGACACUAAGCUUAUCCUUGGGAAACCAUCAGUUUAUGUUGGCGAAGUGGUUUCCCCUCCGACGCCAACCUAUAUCUAGAUCAACUCAACGAGAUCUACAAUAUUUAUUAUAGACAUAUGCAUCGACAACCGCCCUUUUAAAGUUUUUAUAAAUAGAAAGGAAGAGGGGGUUGGAGAUCUCAAGUGUGGUGA
RNAcentral lists this long non-coding RNA (4347 nucleotides) under Sorghum bicolor (sorghum). RNAcentral describes it as "long non-coding RNA (SBIC_LNC009939)". Lineage: Eukaryota; Viridiplantae; Streptophyta; Magnoliopsida; Poales; Poaceae. The record is from RNAcentral.